Molecule: signal recognition particle RNA, 148 nt
Filed under: Homo sapiens (human)
Lineage: Eukaryota; Metazoa; Chordata; Mammalia; Primates; Hominidae
Description: Metazoan signal recognition particle RNA
Rfam family: Metazoan signal recognition particle RNA
About the family: The signal recognition particle (SRP) is a universally conserved ribonucleoprotein. It is involved in the co-translational targeting of proteins to membranes. The eukaryotic SRP consists of a 300-nucleotide 7S RNA and six proteins: SRPs 72, 68, 54, 19, 14, and 9.
Source: Rfam by way of RNAcentral
GCCGGGCGUGGUGGCGCACGCCUGUAGUCCCAGCUACUUGGGAGGCUGAGGCAAGAGAAUCGCUUGAACCCAGGAGGCGGAAGUUGCAGUGAGCCGAGAUCACGUCACUGCACUCCAGCCUGGGUGACAGAGCGAGACUCCGCCUCAA